GAGUUUGAUCAUGGCUCAGAUUGAACGCUGGCGGCAUGCCUUACACAUGCAAGUCGAACGGCAGCACGGGAGCUUGCUCCUGGUGGCGAGUGGCGAACGGGUGAGUAAUGCAUCGGAACGUAUCCUGGAGUGGGGGAUAACGUAGCGAAAGUUACGCUAAUACCGCAUAUUCUGUGAGCAGGAAAGCGGGGGACCUUCGGGCCUCGCGCUCUUGGGGCGGCCGAUGUCGGAUUAGCUAGUUGGUGAGGUAAAGGCUCACCAAGGCGACGAUCCGUAACUGGUCUGAGAGGAUGAUCAGUCACACUGGAACUGAGACACGGUCCGGACUCCUACGGGAGGCAGCAGUGGGGAAUAUUGGACAAUGGGCGAAAGCCUGAUCCAGCCAUGCCGCGUGUGUGAAGAAGGUCUUCGGAUUGUAAAGCACUUUAAGUUGGGAGGAAGGGCAGUAAGUUAAUAACCUUGCUGUUUUGACGUUACCGACAGAGUAAGCACCGGCGUAACUCUGUGCCAG
This 511-nucleotide ribosomal RNA is filed under the name bacterium enrichment culture clone ALO1_GLFRUDD03GW9QW. RNAcentral's name for it is "bacterial SSU rRNA". It matches the Rfam family "Bacterial small subunit ribosomal RNA", at positions 9 to 511 of the family's 1533-position model. The record is from RNAcentral.